UACGGAGGAUGCGAGCGUUAUCCGGAUUUAUUGGGUUUAAAGGGUGCGUAGGCGGAUCGUUAAGUCAGUGGUCAAAUUGAGGGGCUCAACCCCUUCCCGCCAUUGAAACUGGCGAUCUUGAGUGGAAGAGAAGUAUGCGGAAUGCGUGGUGUAGCGGUGAAAUGCAUAGAUAUCACGCAGAACCCCGGUUGCGAAGGCAGCAUGCCGGCUUCCUACUGACGCUGAAGCACGAAAGCGUGGGGAUCGAACAGG
Molecule: ribosomal RNA, 252 nt
Filed under: uncultured bacterium
Lineage: Bacteria
Description: partial 16S ribosomal RNA
Rfam family: Bacterial small subunit ribosomal RNA
Source: RNAcentral